UACGAAGGGGGCUAGCGUUGCUCGGAAUGACUGGGCGUAAAGGGCGCGUAGGCGGUUUGAUCAGUUAGGUGUGAAAUUCCUGGGCUUAACCUGGGGGCUGCACUUAAUACGGUCAGGCUUGAGUGUGAAAGAGGGUCGUGGAAUUCCCAGUGUAGAGGUGAAAUUCGUAGAUAUUGGGAAGAACACCGGUGGCGAAGGCGGCGACCUGGUUCAUUACUGACGCUGAGGCGCGAAAGCGUGGGGAGCAAACAGG
RNAcentral lists this ribosomal RNA (253 nucleotides) under uncultured bacterium. RNAcentral's name for it is "partial 16S ribosomal RNA". It matches the Rfam family "Bacterial small subunit ribosomal RNA", at positions 524 to 776 of the family's 1533-position model. The record is from RNAcentral.